CCCUAUCCUCCAGCACUUCUUUUCUUUCAUCUCUAGUUGAAAUGUGUUAUACGUACGAUAAUUCCGGGGGAGAUGGACGACGAAAACGUUUCGAAUUUAAAUAUUUUGCGAAUAUGUUAGUAACUUAUAUAGUAAUUACCGACAAUCUUUUUUAACAUAUGUAAUUUAUUAUAACGCAAUAUAUAUCUUUGGAAGCAAUGAAAAGUAUAACAAUAAUUUUCGGUGAAUCUAGAAUCUAGAGAUUCGGGAACGACCGUUCUAAGAAUUUUAAAGUUUUUGAAUUUUUCAUUUUUGAAGACGAGAGAUUAUUGCUGGACGUCGACCGUCUGGACCAUUUACAUUUUUACAUAUUAACCAAGGUUGAUCAUGGUUCAGGAUAAAAUGUUUGUGAGAUAUAUGAUUGGCGAAACGAUCGAAAGAAAAGCAGAGACCUGUCGAGGUCCAAUUAUUCGCGAGAUUCGGUUACGAGAAGUAACGUCACGCGUCAAGUCAGGAUGGGAGAGCAGCACGAGGGGACCUAGGAGCGUCGACACCAUGGAGGAGAGGGAGGAUGUAAGGUGACACCUCUGGGACAGGUCUGGCUUCCCGUCAAGAGCCCGUCCGAGAUAAUCAUAUUCAUAAUUCGCGAGUUCGCGGAACGUGCACCCGCGUCGUGCAAGAAAAGGACAUUGUGGCGAAAGGAUUUGAAAAAAAUUAUAUAAAUGAAUAAUUGUUUCAUUGGAUGAAAUGAAAAAUUGAAAACGAAUGAGAAUAAAACAAAUCCAUAUCACAAGACAAAUAAUUAAACAUAUAUACAAAUAAUCAAUUUCUAAAAAUUAAGAACAAAACAAAAGUUAAUCUAUUUUCUAAAAUAAGAGCAAAGAUAUAAAUAGAGAGAGAUUAGAAAGAGACACGCGUGACUGUGAUCCUCCGUACACGCAGUUAUGGGCACGCUUAAAGGUCCCGACUGCGUGUGGGUCCGCGGAUACGAGGACGUGUGGAUGUCCAGGCGGGGCCCUGGCCCUGCUUGUAACCCGACACCAAAAGCUUUGGCUCCCCUCUCUGCGCCAACAUCCAGCGCACAGAGUGAGACACAGACAAGACCCCCGAGAACGAAAAGGACUGGUUGAUAGUCGGAAUUAAGCGAUCUGACAAAUUGUCGGGCAAAGGGUAAAGACGAUCGGCUCGAAACGCGAAUCAAGAUAACCAACACACGCGCACGCCAAUCCCACCUUUGGAACUACACGACAUCAGGGUUCACCACUUCAAACUUGCCCACCUACGAUUUUCCAGAAAGAUUCCCGUUGAAUCUUGGAUAUUCUAUGAAGUCGCGGUUGGUUACAAAAAAAGGGGGUGGUCGCGAUUUAUCUCGACCUCGAGGUCCGCUCGAGCUCUGCAUCGCGGUUAAAACGUCGGGGACGGAAUUUAAAUUUCACAAAUUAGUCCGUCCAUUACACCCUCGGUGUAAUCAGGUCGGAUGAUCUCGAACACUCGCCCCACCAAGUUAGAGGUUUCGCUCUUCCACCUCCUUUGCCUCAUUCCUCAGCAUCCUCUCUGCCUCCGAGAGAAGCCUCGUCCACACGAGGUGAACGCAGUUCCUGGAAAGCGUGGGUGCCUCUUCCAGGCAAACAGGAUCAGGAUCUGGGCCCUCACAAAUCAUAACGCGGAUGCACCAGAGAUCCCGCAUGGAGAUCCCUUACUGCUCUUCUUCUUUCUUCUCGCGCGUAUUCUCUUAUUCCGAAUAUUUGCGCUCCCGAAAAGAAGUUUCGAAUGAUGAUCAAUUGCCAAAAGAUAUGGUUUUCUAUCGAUUUUCGAUAAAACUUUGCUCGAGUUUCUUGUUUCAGGAAAUAUCUUUUGUAGGUUUUAAUGGAAAUUUAUGUUCAAUUAAAAGUUGAUUAGAAGUUGAUUUUAUCGAUUUUCGAUAAAACUUUGCUUGAGUUUGCUGUUCUAGGAAAUAUCUUUUAUAGGUUUUACUGGAAAUUUGUAUUUGUAUAUAAUUAGAAGUUGA
Molecule: long non-coding RNA, 1987 nt
Filed under: Apis dorsata (giant honeybee)
Lineage: Eukaryota; Metazoa; Arthropoda; Insecta; Hymenoptera; Apidae
Description: uncharacterized LOC102678153, transcript variant X3
Source: RNAcentral